RNAcentral lists this unclassified non-coding RNA (177 nucleotides) under uncultured Penicillium. RNAcentral describes it as "sequence contains ITS1". The record is from RNAcentral. Lineage: Eukaryota; Fungi; Ascomycota; Eurotiomycetes; Eurotiales; Aspergillaceae.
CCGAGUGCGGGCCCUCGCGGCCCAACCUCCCACCCUUGUCUCCAUACACCUGUUGCUUUGGCGGGCCCACCGGGGCCACCUGGUCGCCGGGGGGACGUCGUCUCCGGGCCCGCGCCCGCCGAAGCGCUCUGUGAACCCUGAUGAAGAUGGGCUGUCUGAGUACUAUGAAAAUUGUCA